This 385-nucleotide long non-coding RNA is filed under the name Homo sapiens (human). RNAcentral's name for it is "non-protein coding lnc-BUB3-4:31". The record is from RNAcentral. Lineage: Eukaryota; Metazoa; Chordata; Mammalia; Primates; Hominidae.
UUAAGUUCAAGAUGGGGAGGGGUUGGGGUGAGGGCUGGCCUGUCUGAGGAGGGGCAUUUGCAGUGCUGGAGCAAGCCAUGGAGGACAGGAAUUGCUCCAGUCAGAGGAACAGCAAGGACAAGGGGCCCAAGACGGCAUGUACUAGAGGCUCCACGCAUAGAAAAAGCCAGCCAUCCCCAGCGCUGUAACUGAGUGGCCAGUGGUGGGAGAAUUGGGACAUUGGCUUUUUCCUGCCUCUACACUACAACUACACCAUCAAGCCUUCAGACAUGGAAAGGAACCACACUAUUGGCUCUCCUCGGUCUUCAGCUUGCCAACUCAAUGCAGAUCUUUGCAUUUGUCAGCCUUAUAACCAUGUGAGCUAAUUCCCUAAAAUAAAUGUCCU